Molecule: transfer RNA, 76 nt
Filed under: Armatimonadota bacterium
Lineage: Bacteria; Bacillati; Armatimonadota
Description: Armatimonadetes bacterium (hot springs metagenome) tRNA-Arg
Rfam family: tRNA
About the family: Transfer RNA (tRNA) molecules are approximately 80 nucleotides in length. Their secondary structure includes four short double-helical elements and three loops (D, anti-codon, and T loops). Further hydrogen bonds mediate the characteristic L-shaped molecular structure. tRNAs have two regions of fundamental functional importance: the anti-codon, which is responsible for specific mRNA codon recognition, and the 3' end, to which the tRNAs corresponding amino acid is attached (by aminoacyl-tRNA synthetases). tRNAs cope with the degeneracy of the genetic code in two manners: having more than one tRNA (with a specific anti-codon) for a particular amino acid; and 'wobble' base-pairing, i.e. permitting non-standard base-pairing at the 3rd anti-codon position.
Source: RNAcentral
GCCCCCUUAGCUCAGCGGAUAGAGCAACUGCCUUCUAAGCAGUGGGUCGCCCGUUCGAUUCGGGCAGGGGGCGCCA